GAUGAACGUUGGCGGCGUGCUUAACACAUGCAAGUCGAACGGAAAGGCCCCGCUUUUGUGGGGUGCUCGAGUGGCGAACGGGUGUGUCACACGAGAGUAACCUGCCCUUGCCUUUGGGAUAACUUCAGGAAACUGGGGCUAAUACCGGCUAGGAGCUCCUGCUGCAUGGUGGGGGUUGGAAAGUUUCGGCGGUUGGGGAUGGACUCGCGGCUUAUCAGCUUGUUGGUGGGGUAGUGGCUUACCAAGGCUUUGACGGGUAGCCGGCCUGAGAGGGUGACCGGCCACAUUGGGACUGAGGUACGUCCCAGACUCCUACGGGAGGCAGCGGUGGAGAGUAUGACACAAUGGGCGGAAGCCUGAUGCAGCAACGCCGCGGGCGGUAUGACGGCCUUCAAGUUGUAAACCGCUUUCGCCUGAGACGAUGCGAGAGUGACGUUAAUAAGUAAAGAAGCACCGGCUAACUACGUG
This 468-nucleotide ribosomal RNA is filed under the name uncultured bacterium. Its description in RNAcentral is "partial 16S ribosomal RNA". It matches the Rfam family "Bacterial small subunit ribosomal RNA", at positions 28 to 507 of the family's 1533-position model. The record is from RNAcentral.